ACGGGGGCCCGCACAAGCGGUGGAGCAUGUGGUUUAAUUCGAUGCAACGCGAAGAACCUUACCUGGUCUUGACAUCCACAGAAGUUUCCAGAGAUGGAUUGGUGCCUUCGGGAACUGUGAGACAGGUGCUGCAUGGCUGUCGUCAGCUCGUGUUGUGAAAUGUUGGGUUAAGUCCCGCAACGAGCGCAACCCUUAUCCUUUGUUGCCAGCGAUUAGGUCGGGAACUCAAAGGAGACUGCCAGUGAUAAACUGGAGGAAGGUGGGGAUGACGUCAAGUCAUCAUGGCCCUUACGACCAGGGCUACACACGUGCUACAAUGGCGCAUACAAAGAGAAGCGACCUCGCGAGAGCAAGCGGACCUCAUAAAGUGCGUCGUAGUCCGGAUUGGAGUCUGCAACUCGACUCCAUGAAGUCGGAAUCGCUAGUAAUCGUGGAUCAGAAUGCCACGGUGAAUACGUUCCCGGGCCUUGUACACACCGCCCGUCACACCAUGGGAGUGGGUUGCAAAAGAAGUAGGUAGCUUAACCUUCGGGAGGGCGCUUACCACUUUCGAUG
Molecule: ribosomal RNA, 555 nt
Filed under: Salmonella enterica subsp. enterica serovar Typhimurium
Lineage: Bacteria; Pseudomonadati; Pseudomonadota; Gammaproteobacteria; Enterobacterales; Enterobacteriaceae
Description: bacterial SSU rRNA
Rfam family: Bacterial small subunit ribosomal RNA
Source: RNAcentral